UUAUAUACUACGUCCCCUGCGAUUUAUUUUUAAACUCGAAAUUGAUUUCAAAACUUUUUCUUCCAUGAGAUUUUGAUUUUUACUAGCCUUCAAGGGUUAAUUGAUUCUCUUUCUUUGUUUUGCUUCAUUGAAUCUUUCCAAAAAUAACCACAAAUCUUGUACUUAGACUUUUUGCCUAUUGUAUGACUUUACUAUUUUUUGUGGCAACAAGCCAUUCUACUUAUGUGAUUGAUUCAUCUUUCCUUAUUUGGAACAUAUUAGUAUCCAUCUGAAUAAGAAUCCCCUGAUUAAAGGAAAGACUUAUACUAAUUGAUUCUAAUUUGUGAGCAUGCCCAUAUUUGUGCUUUUACUCUACUCUCUACUCAUUUUUUCAAAAACAAUAAAUACCUCACCCUCUCCUCUUUCGACACAGAAGUUCCAAUGAACACACACACACACAAUAUACUCACUACUUCUCUUCUCUCAAAACACUUUUAAGUUCUCUCAAAGCAUUCGAGUUUUCUGCUGAAAUCAUAAG
This 517-nucleotide long non-coding RNA is filed under the name Nicotiana benthamiana. RNAcentral's name for it is "long non-coding RNA (NBEN_LNC034604)". Lineage: Eukaryota; Viridiplantae; Streptophyta; Magnoliopsida; Solanales; Solanaceae. The record is from RNAcentral.